Non-coding RNA from Caenorhabditis elegans, 138 nucleotides. The record is from Ensembl. NCBI's taxonomy places the organism in Eukaryota, Metazoa, Nematoda, Chromadorea, Rhabditida, Rhabditidae.
GGCUUAGGCUUCAGGCUUAGGUUUAGGUUUAGGUUUAGGCUUAGGCUAAGGCUUAGACCUAGAUUUAGGCUUAGGCUUAGGCUUAGACGUCGGCUAAUUCUUAAACUUAGGGUUAGGCUUAGGAUUAGGCUUAGGCUU